Molecule: non-coding RNA, 1002 nt
Organism: Paramuricea clavata
Lineage: Eukaryota; Metazoa; Cnidaria; Anthozoa; Malacalcyonacea; Plexauridae
Source: the annotation of a GenBank genome assembly
AACGCUUAUAAAGAUAAAAUACAUCUUCCUCCUGUACUUAGUAUAGUAACAUGUAUAUCUAGACUGCGAGCAGUCCCUCAGGAGAAGGGAGGGACUUCCGACAACACAUCAAGAAACGAAAUACGCAUUGCCCACACAACGCAAAAUUCCCAUUGGUCGAAAUCGAUAUGCCUGUCAAUCAAAUUUGAUCACAGGGGGCUCAACUAAUGUCAGUAACAAGUGUAAAAUAAUCAAAGUAAUAAACUUACAUUAAAGAUGCUGUAAAGUCCGUAAUGUAAACAAACGCUUUGUUUACAUUUUGAACUCAGUGCUACAGUUGUAAAAUAUGAUUAGAUAUAUAUUAUACUGAAUUUUUAGCACUCUUCUGGUUCGCUAUGCUUGUAAAUUAAUACAGACUAGAUAUUCAAUUCAAUAAAGUUCGGAAGGUGCGAAAUAUUAAUAACAUUCCAAUGGUCGGAUCCCGACCAUUGGAAUGUAGCCCUGCGCAGAACGUAUGCGCAGAACGGACUUUACGUUAGAGCAAAUAAAUGAUCAAUAUGAAGUACUACAGAAUCCUCAGCAGCUAAGUAAUGCGGGCGCGUAUGAGGUCAUAGCAUAAUUAAUAAUAGAUAAAGUAAUAAAAAGGAAGGAUUGAAACACUGGUCACAUGAUUUUCUAAAAUGCUUCUAAUUUAACCGUUUCGACAUAAUUUGAUUAGGUACAACGUUUUAGCAUUCUCUUAGACGAACAAAGAUAUCUAGUAAAGAAAUAACACAGAUAAACCUUUCCCUGAAUGAUUUUUAACAGCAGGCUUUCUUCGCAAUUUUCGCGAAAUGUCUACCAAGACUAGCCUAUCCAGUCGGAUGCAGUUCGGCACUCGUGAGAUGCUAGAAUUUGCAUUUAGAUUUUUAAAAUAGAGUUUGUUGGCGCCGGUAUAGACUAUAGUUUCAAUAUUAAGUUUUUAAAAAUGUAAAUCAUCAGAAAUUGCUUUAUAAAAUCAAAAAUAGCUUUGAGAAUUGAGAU